Hordeum vulgare subsp. vulgare (domesticated barley) is the source of this 457-nucleotide long non-coding RNA. RefSeq lists it as uncharacterized. The transcript has 3 exons. The record is from RefSeq and is a predicted model, not a curated record. NCBI's taxonomy places the organism in Eukaryota, Viridiplantae, Streptophyta, Magnoliopsida, Poales, Poaceae.
AAAUGCUAGCCAAGUAAGUGAUGGAGCUGGAGCUUUCCUAUUAAUGAGGCGAGAUGUUGCUACACAAAAGGGUCUCCCAAUUUUUGGAAUCUGAGCUUUGGUGCAGUUGGAGUUGAUCCAGUUGUUAUCGGUGUUGGUCCUGCUGUUGCUAUUCCUGUAGUAGUGAAGGUUGCGGGUCUUCAAAUCAAUGAGUUGACCUUCUUCUUGAGAUUAAUGAGCGAGUCUGUUGGACGCGUAGGAGGGGAGCACAAAAUGUGGAGUUGUGAGUUCAUCCACGCUCUUUCUAGUGUUGUACUUCUUCACAUCGGGAAAGAAGUUAAGCUGCGGGGAAGCCAAGGAAGUGUUGAUUGUUGCCAUAUGUGUGGAAGCCUAUCCGAGGCCUCUGUGUUGCUUGGUGAGAUGUUGAAGGAGACUGAAGAAGGGUUUCUAGAUAUAUAUGAUUCGUAUCCCAGGUUCU